GUUCCUGGCUCAGGAUGAACGCUGGCGGCGUGCUUAACACAUGCAAGUCGAACGAAGCACUUUAACCUGAUUCUUCGGAUGAAGGUUUUUGUGACUGAGUGGCGGACGGGUGAGUAACGCGUGGGUAACCUGCCUCAUACAGGGGGAUAACAGUUAGAAAUGACUGCUAAUACCGCAUAAGACCACGGAGCCGCAUGGCUCAGUGGGAAAAACUCCGGUGGUAUGAGAUGGACCCGCGUCUGAUUAGG
RNAcentral lists this ribosomal RNA (248 nucleotides) under uncultured bacterium. RNAcentral describes it as "partial 16S ribosomal RNA". It matches the Rfam family "Bacterial small subunit ribosomal RNA", at positions 15 to 245 of the family's 1533-position model. The record is from RNAcentral.